This 495-nucleotide ribosomal RNA is filed under the name uncultured bacterium. RNAcentral's name for it is "partial 16S ribosomal RNA". It matches the Rfam family "Bacterial small subunit ribosomal RNA", at positions 28 to 507 of the family's 1533-position model. The record is from RNAcentral.
GACGAACGCUGGCGGCGUGCCUAAUACAUGCAAGUAGAACGCUGAAGGAGGAGCUUGCUUCUCUGGAUGAGUUGCGAACGGGUGAGUAACGCGUAGGUAACCUGCCUGGUAGCGGGGGAUAACUAUUGGAAACGAUAGCUAAUACCGCAUAAUAGUAGAUGUCGCAUGACAUUUGCUUAAAAGGUGCAAUUGCAUCACUACCAGAUGGACCUGCGUUGUAUUAGCUAGUUGGUGAGGUAACGGCUCACCAAGGCAACGAUACAUAGCCGACCUGAGAGGGUGAUCGGCCACACUGGGACUGAGACACGGCCCAGACUCCUACGGGAGGCAGCAGUAGGGAAUCUUCGGCAAUGGACGGAAGGCUGACCGAGCAACGCCGCGUGAGUGAAGAAGGGUGUCGGAUCGUAAAGCUCUGUUGUAAGAGAAGAACGAGUGUGAGAGUGGAAAGUUCACACUGUGACGGUAUCUUACCAGAAAGGGACGGCUAACUACGUG